RNAcentral lists this ribosomal RNA (254 nucleotides) under uncultured bacterium. RNAcentral's name for it is "partial 16S ribosomal RNA". It matches the Rfam family "Bacterial small subunit ribosomal RNA", at positions 524 to 776 of the family's 1533-position model. RNAcentral also lists the same sequence under 1 other name. The record is from RNAcentral.
UACGUAGGGUCCAAGCGUUAUCCGGAAUCACUGGGCGUAAAGCGUGCGUAGGCGGGAGCUUAAGUGCAAUGCGAAAUCUUGUGGCUCAACCAUAUAGACUGUGUUGCAUACUGGGCACCUGGAGGAUGGCAGAGGCUAGUGGAAUUACUGGUGUAGCAGUGAAAUGCGUAGAUAUCAGUAGGAACACCAAUGGCGAAGGCAGCUAGCUGGGCCAUUUCUGACGCUAAGGCACGAAAGCGUGGGGAGCGAACAGG